GUUUGUUACUUAACCGUUGCCGCCAAUUCGUUCUACCGAGGAAUCAUUCUGUGCACCAUUUUGACGGUGUCAUCUGGCUAGCUAGUUGCAUUAAACUAAAUCAAAUGAUUCGAGUGAUUAUAUCAGGAAUCAAAACGAAAAAAAAGGAGAAAGUAAAGGAGAAGCACAGAAUGAAACGCUGGAAGAACUGAAAGGUCAGUUACAAACAACUGAAUGCAAUAACUGAUGAUGCAGAUGUUGAACUUGAGAUUACGAAAAGAGAAAAUACAUUACUGAAGCAAUUGAACCAACAACUUAGAGAGUAAAAUGAAAUAUAAAGGAACCAGAAAAAAGCAACAAUGGGAACAAGUGAAUUAGAAAACCUUUGCUGAAAUAACUAAUAUUAAUAAAUAUCAGCUGAAAAGAUUAUAGUAAAGAGAUAGAAGAAAUUAUAGUAAAGAAGAUCAAUGAUGAUAAACCAACGGGCAUGAACGAGAAAGUCGAUCAUUACUUGAUAAAAUAGAUCUAUACAAGCUAAAGAAAUUUAUACGAAGAUUGAGAAUGAAAUUAUUAUAAGCUGUAUGAAUGAAAAUAAUGUCAAUGCUACUGAAAAGUUAUUAGAAUCCAGUCGGUCAGCUAGUGCAUGUAAAAUACAAAUUGAUCAAUUGAUGGGAAUGGAUAUUACUUUUAUAACACAACACAGGUCAACUUUUAUGUCUGCGUAUAGCAAGCGCCACUAGAGAGCGAAGAAUGAAACGCUGCCGUUUAUUGCCAACCUCAAAAUGAUGAAUCUACUUACAACAAUCAUUGCCAACAUCUUACAUACGAUUAGUUUUAUUCUCACUUCAAUUAAUGAAGCUACAGAUUAAACUCAUUGAAUUUCAGUAAUUUGAAUAACAUGUAUCAUGUACGCCACAUGUACAGAAACCAAAUAAAUGGAUUAGGCAGUUCAAUCUUAGAGGUGACACUUGAAAUAUGUAAACAUAUAAAAUAAAAGAAAAACAAAGAUUUUGUGGUAUAUCAAAACUGCAAGGUGUAUGACGUGAUUAAUGACAGAUCAUGCAAUAAUUGUGGUAAAUUUGGUCAUAAUGAUCAUAGGUGCAAAAAUAAUAGUGUUUGCCUCAAAUGCUCAAGUCAGUCGAACAAAUUUAUGUCAUAGUGUGGAGUUCAAAUGCUUGCAUUUAUAGUGACACCAAGUACAAAACCAGUCAGGAUGUAAACCAUCCAGCUACUGCUAUGAGUGUGUGUCAAAUUAUAAAAUCCAAGGUUAAAAAGCUGAUUGAUACGAUUGUUUAUGUAAUAAAACCUAUAUUAUCGACAUGGAGUAAGAAAGGGAAACAACAUCGUGCUAAUGUAAUUUAAAGAAGAACGGCAACUUCAAUGAAGCUAUCAACAUCGAUGGAAUAAGAAAAGGAAUGAUACAUGACGAAAUAUUGCUCUCUGAUCUUGGAAUCCUUAAUAAAAAUAUAGAUGAUAAACACAUUUUGAUACUAUGUAUCAAUAUUAGAAGCCUACAUGCUAAUCCUAAUAACCUUGAAAAUCUUGUUGAGACACUGCAGAUCAAACCUUAUACUGUUACGUGUGCGGUUUUUUUGAGGCAUGUACCUAUGAGAAAACCCCGUUAUUGUGUAGUUCUUUUGCCUUAACCCCUGAAAUAAAGGUAAAUAUGGAUAAUAUAAAGGACUUCCUCUGAUGGGCAAAAAGAAGGAUCGGUCUUUCCGACCCAAAAACACCUUGAAUCAAUUAGUUGUAUGGACUUAGGCGAUUCCAAAGCCGUCUUGGUUCAUGAACAAGCACCUCCCUCUUACGCUCACUCACGUAAGACAAGAGCUCACUGAUAUAUAUACUAACCAAGAGCUGUUUCGCUCUUGCAACCGAUUUCCUCGCAGGCUGGCCACACCAUCUUUAAUUUUAAACUGUGAAAGGCUAUAAAAUGAUUGCAUCGGCGACGACGACGAAUAUGUUUUGACAGGAAAUGCCCCAUAAAUAAAAUGAAAACAUCAUUGUUGUCGUCAUCGAUGCAAUCAUUUUAUGGCCUUUCGCAGUUUCAAAUUAAAGAUAGUAUGGCCAGCCUGCGAGAAAUAGACGAAGAACUUGCGUGGUAUCGAGUCAGCAGUGACCGAAUGCGAACUUUGAAGAUAUUUUCUCAUGUGUGUGAAGUUGGCCCAGCACUUUUCGAAAAUAAUGAUUAUAAAAAUUGUGCUGAAUUGUGCUAAGGGUGUGCUAACUUGUGCCGUCAAUCCGCCUUUCCUAACUUCAAAGGAUUCCCCAAAAAUCGAAAAUCUGAUAAGCCCAGCACUUUUGGGAUAAAAAAAAAAAAAAAUUGUGCCGGGUUGUGCUACAUUUGUGCUAACUUGUGCCGUAGUUCAUUUUUUCGAAAAGUCCAUUAUUCACACGGAAAGAAAAAAAAAAAUUAGGUUGAGAGAAAUGGUGCUGGGUUGUACCGCAUUUGUGCCAACUUGUGCCGUGCUCUAGUUGCCAAACAUUCGAGAAAAGUUGAGAAAGUCCAGAAAAAUCAUCGAGAAAAUUGAAAAAUUUACACACGGCUCGGAUCUGUCGAGAUUUUUGAAUUUUUUCGAUCGUGCUAGAUUGUGCCAUGUUUGUGCCAACUAGUGCCGUGCUCUAUUUUCCCAAACAUUCGAGAAAAGUUGAAAAAAUCCAGAAAAAUCAUCGAGCAAAUUGAAAAAUUGACACACGGCUCGGAUCUUUCGAGAUUUUUGAAUGUUUUUGACCGUGCUGGAUUGUGCCAUGCUUGUGCCAACUGGUGCCGUACUCUAUUUUCCCAAAAAUUCGAGAAGAGUUGAGAAAAUCCAGAAAAAUCAUCGAGCAAAUUGAAAAAUUGACACACGGCUCGGAUCUUUCGAGAUUUUUGAAUGUUUUUGACCGUGCUGGAUUGUGCCAUGCUUGUGCCAACUUGUGCCGUACUCUAUUUUCCCAAAAAUUCGAGAAGAGUUGAGAAAAUCCAGAAAAAUCAUCGAGCAAAUUGCAAAAUUUACACACGGCUCGGAUCUUUCGAGAUUUUUGAAUUUUUUCGAUUGUGUUAGAUUGUGCCGUGUUUGUACCAACUUGUGCCGCCCUUUUUUAAUGAGAUUUAGUUUGAUUCAAUCAAAGAUCAAUUGAUAUGAUCUGUUCCAUUUGUAUUUCAUGAAAGGAAAGAAUUUUGUUUAACGUGUUUUUCCAAACUCAGUUCUUUUAAAACUCUCAUGUCAUAUACACGUAGUUGUCGAAUAAUUAAAUUCAUUUACAAACGUUAUAGAGAUAUCGAAUGGAGUUUUUUAUUGCUGUAAUUGACUCAAAUCUACAGUGAGCACAUUAAAAAUUCAGAAACCAUUAUAGAAUUGAUUCCAAUUUCAAACAAAUUAUUCAGAAGUAUUUAUCGCAUCAGAACUCAGAAACAAUUCGAAAUUGAUUGGGCGCCAGAUAAUUCAAAAUUAAAAUAAAUCCUCAAUUCACCUAUCAUCCAGAAGAAACUAACCAUGAGUCGAAUGAAAUUCUUUCCGGAUAAAACCACGAAAAAGACCUGUGGCAACGUCUUUCAACAAUUUCACAAUAAUUAGUGAACGCUACCCAGGAAAUUUUCAUUAAUAGUCACGAAACUACCAAAUAUUUUCAACGGAAUUCAAAAUAAAGUAAAAGGAGGAAGCAUGUUGAGAGUGAAUAUAAAAGGGAUUUAUUAGAAAAAUAGUAUCACUUGAAAUUAAACGGGAGACGGAAGAUUUGUAUCUCGUUCAAAAUUUACAACAAUAACAAGUUUUGAACGAUUCUGAGAUUCAGGCCUGUAGAAGUUUGUAUCCCUUUUGAAGAAAAUGUAUACGGAAUAAACUCCAUUGGGGUCAGCAUAAAGAACGUCACAAUAUCAGAAAAUCUACCUUCGCACGUAUGCAAAAUAUCGAACGCGCUCAACGACUAAAUGAGAGAAGAAAACAAACAGUUAAAUUUGGAUUUUCGAUACAGGGCACAUUCGUAGAAGAAUCACCUCUGAAUAACUUAUAUCUACAUUUGGCUUAAUGAAAACGAAUAAAAAAUUAAGUUCAUCAAGCUUUAUUUCCAACCUUGUUUCAUAACUUGAGCCCUCUGUAAACGUUAUGCUUUUCGGAGUGUUGGUAAUAUUAUAAUUCAUGAUUGAGAGUUGGCAACAUUGGUGUAUGCGCAGGCGCAAAAUAUAUAUUACUGGAACAUUCCGGAACGUGCGUCACUUCCUUUAGAGAGGUUAAAAAUGUCUGUGUAACACCACAUGCUGCUGAGAGCAAAAAGAAAUCAAAAAUAAUAGAAAGCUUAAAACUAAAAAUAUAUCCAAAGAUAUCUUGCGCAUCCUUGCUCAGUGCGAAGCGUUAUUUCAUUAAUCUAUAUUGUUAUCCACUACUUAUAUCAGUGUACAUGUAUAAAUACACUAUUCUCAGUUGUUUUCUAUA
This is a long non-coding RNA of Neodiprion virginianus, 4391 nucleotides long. RefSeq lists it as uncharacterized. Lineage: Eukaryota; Metazoa; Arthropoda; Insecta; Hymenoptera; Diprionidae. The transcript has 2 exons. The record is from RefSeq and is a predicted model, not a curated record.